This 220-nucleotide long non-coding RNA is filed under the name Lathyrus oleraceus (garden pea). Its description in RNAcentral is "Pisum sativum (pea) long non-coding RNA (PSAT_LNC023176)". Lineage: Eukaryota; Viridiplantae; Streptophyta; Magnoliopsida; Fabales; Fabaceae. The record is from RNAcentral.
GUAUAUUGAAUAUAAUUUAUAGAAUAUAUAAAAGAUACAAAAAAUCGUAUUAUUAUCAAUGAUAUUAAAAUGAUUGUAUAAUAAAAAAAUUAAAUAAUAUAUUUUAUCCUCAUUUUUAUUAUCUGCAUGUAAUAAAACAAACAAAUGUACUUUAUUAAAGAGUAAAAAACAACUGGAAAAAACAAAGAAUUAAAAAUAAGAAUAAAAACUACAUAAGAUU